Molecule: ribosomal RNA, 313 nt
Filed under: Escherichia coli
Lineage: Bacteria; Pseudomonadati; Pseudomonadota; Gammaproteobacteria; Enterobacterales; Enterobacteriaceae
Also listed under: 2 other names
Description: partial 23S ribosomal RNA
Rfam family: Bacterial large subunit ribosomal RNA
Source: RNAcentral
CCAGACAGCCAGGAUGUUGGCUUAGAAGCAGCCAUCAUUUAAAGAAAGCGUAAUAGCUCACUGGUCGAGUCGGCCUGCGCGGAAGAUGUAACGGGGCUAAACCAUGCACCGAAGCUGCGGCAGCGACACUAUGUGUUGUUGGGUAGGGGAGCGUUCUGUAAGCCUGUGAAGGUGGCCUGUGAGGGUUGCUGGAGGUAUCAGAAGUGCGAAUGCUGACAUAAGUAACGAUAAAGCGGGUGAAAAGCCCGCUCGCCGGAAGACCAAGGGUUCCUGUCCAACGUUAAUCGGGGCAGGGUGAGUCGACCCCUAAGGC